ACCCCAGGAUUCUGACACUAGCCCACCUUGACAUUUGACGUUGGGUACCCACGUGGUAACUAUAUUUUCCAAACCUCAAAUAGGGACACAUGGUCUCACAAGUGUAAAGGCACUUAAGAGGACAGGAGACUAGAAUGUUUUAAAUUGGGACCAUCCCAGCAAAUCCAGGACAUCUGGUCAUCAUAACUAUCUGGGGGCUUCCCACACCCCUGGCACAAGGCAGGCUUUGCCAUUUAAUAGGCCUUCCCAUAUCCUGAAUGCCCAGGGUCUAUUUUUUGGUUGAAGCACAUGCUACAGACAAGUGAGAGACACUUAAAAAGAUCAAGCAGCUGGAGAGAGAUUGCAGUGGGCAUUCUUUUUAGAGAGGCCUUGGCAGGCGAGAAGGCAGGGCAGUGGUGAAAGGUCAGAAGAAUUAUCCAUGAAUUCUGGGGCCCAGGAGGUGUCAGAGCUGUGAGCUAGGGGACUUUCCACCAGCAUCAGGCAUGUAGCUCCCCCCUGGUCCUCUCCCCGCCUCUUCCCCCAGCUCUUCUCUCAUUGGAAGCUCUCCCUCCUGCCUCCACUGGGAGCAGAAGGCUCUGCAGCUGGCUCAUGGCACCUCAUGGAGGGGCAGCUGGCUUCUGGGGAGGGAGACAAUUUGCUGCCUCAUUGUGUGGCUGCAUUGAACCUGCUGGUGUAGAAUGGGCCCAGCGAUCAUAGGUUGUGGUAGAAUUAUGGGAGCCUGGAUAUAAAACUUCCGUACACUGUAAAGAAUUGGACACGUGGGUGCUGAGUUUCGCAUUCAGAGUUAAUUUCACAUUGAAAUUGUUAGAAUAAAAUGCCAGUCUGAGGAGAGGCCUAACAGCAGCAAUUUGAAGUUUAUGUGUUUGUCUCACAAUGGUACAGUUGCCUGCUGAUUCACAAAUAUAGGGAGAAGAAAGGAGAAGUAAGGUGUAAGGUAGUGUGAGUAUGUGUGCAUGUGCGUGUGUGUGUGUG
Molecule: long non-coding RNA, 972 nt
Filed under: Marmota monax (woodchuck)
Lineage: Eukaryota; Metazoa; Chordata; Mammalia; Rodentia; Sciuridae
Source: RNAcentral